This 170-nucleotide unclassified non-coding RNA is filed under the name uncultured fungus. Its description in RNAcentral is "sequence contains ITS1, 5.8S rRNA gene". The record is from RNAcentral. Lineage: Eukaryota; Fungi.
CAUGAUUACCUUUUAACAUUCUGUGAACUUUUUAUUUUACUAUUCGUGUAUAUCAAUCAAUUGAUUUUUAUUACACUGUCAUUCGAUGAACAUUAGAUAGUUGGCUUGAAUCUAUAUGUGAUUCAUUCUCAGCUGAUUGUAGUAAUACAAUCACCCAAAUAAUAUAGAAA